RNAcentral lists this ribosomal RNA (253 nucleotides) under uncultured bacterium. RNAcentral's name for it is "partial 16S ribosomal RNA". It matches the Rfam family "Bacterial small subunit ribosomal RNA", at positions 524 to 776 of the family's 1533-position model. The record is from RNAcentral.
UACAGGGGGUGCAAACGUUGCUCGGAAUCAUUGGGCGUAAAGCGCGUGUAGGCGGCUAUGUAAGUCGGGCGUGAAAUCCCACGGCUCAACCGUGGAAGUGCACCCGAAACUGCGUAGCUAGAGUCCUGGAGAGGAAGGUGGAAUGCUUGGUGUAGAGGUGAAAUUCGUAGAUAUCAAGCGGAACACCGGUGGCGAAGGCGGCCUUCUGGACAGUGACUGACGCUGAGACGCGAAAGCGUGGGGAGCAAACAGG